This 2710-nucleotide long non-coding RNA is filed under the name Apis dorsata (giant honeybee). RNAcentral describes it as "uncharacterized LOC102675212, transcript variant X1". The record is from RNAcentral. Lineage: Eukaryota; Metazoa; Arthropoda; Insecta; Hymenoptera; Apidae.
UUCUAUAUUUAACCUGUAUGUACUGUACAUAACCUGUAAACUAAAAACUACUCAUCUGUGAUUAAACUGUGUUAUUUUUAGGUAAACAAUUAAAGUAAAAAACUAAAGAUAUUAUUUUUAAUAUAAUAAGAAAAAAAAAUAUAUAACUUUGAAUAUCAAGAAUUAUUCAACAUUUAUUACGUAAAGUAUAAUGUAAUCAUAUGAUUUUAUCUGGCAAUCAUAUUACGUGAACACAUAAUAGAUAAUUAUCUUUAUACAAGUAAUAACAUUAUACAAAUAUGGUAUCAAUUCUAUGAAAAAACAAUGUUUUCCAGAAGAAUUUCUAUGCUACAAUAAUUUAGCUGGUCGUAUAACAAUUAUAUAUUGCAUAAAUAAGAUGAACAUAUAGAAUAAUUUCUUUUUUUACUUUAAACAUCGACUAUUCUUUGUGAUAAAUACAUUUUUUGAAUUUAAUUGACAAUCAGUUAAUACUAAGAAUACAAUUAGUAUGUCACACAAGUUGAAAUUACAUUCAGAUCAUAUAAUAUAAGACAAUAUUGUUCUAUAAUUCUAUAUAAUCAUAAUAGUCUUUUUUGAUAUAAUAAUUAACUGCAAUUAUUAAUUUUUAUAGAACAAUACAGAAAGCGUAGUAAUAUAUUAAGCAAAUAUUUAUCUGUUAUUCUUUUAUUCUUAUUGAUAUCAUAUAAAAUCGUAAUUUCAUAAAUGAAAUAUUCCAUUGGGUAGUAAUAAAUAUUGAAAAGGACUACAAGUGCACUUGCCCAUUAUAUCUCAUAAUUGGUAUUUAUAGUUCUCUCGUUAAAAAACGAGACAUAUUAUUAAUACGAUAUUAAAAACAAUGUUACGUUCUUUACAAUUGGCAGUGAUAGCUCUUAUAUGAAAUAUUUUACUUACUUAUAGCAAACCGUAUAAAUGUAUCUACAAUUUUACGAAUCAACAACUCUCGAAAUAAAUAAUUUCACUCGAGUUUCAUUGAUUUUACAAUUUAGUUUAGUUUUAUAUUACUUAUAUACGUCAUUUCUGUGCAAAUAUUUUUUUACUUAACAUUACAACAAUAAUAAAUAAUCACGCUUUUUAUAAAUUUCCCUAUAAAUUAUUCGAGAAAUUAUUUCCUCCUGUUAUAAACGAUUAUAUUAAUGAAUAAAAGUAUUAAAUAAAUAUCUAUCUAUUCCAUUUACAUUUCAAUCUUUUAAUAGUUAUUUUACAAUAAACUAUAAAUAAAAUUAUUAAAAAUGUAUAAUUAUGUAUUUUUUAAAUAUCCCUCCAUUAAGAAAGUACCUAUCAAAUCGAAGAAGAUAGAUGUCGCAGUAUCGAUACUCGAUUUAAUAGACUAGCACAUAGUGUCAUCUAGUUUUAGUGGAGUGAGAGUGUACAAGAAAUUUCUUUGAAAUUCAUUUCUUCGAUUAUUUCUUUUGGAUUUAUUGUUGCUGGUGUGAUUGGCGCUUCAUGCUGAGUGUCGUUUAACACAAAUGUCGUUGUGGGCUCUUCCCGCGAAUUUUGUGCAACUUUUCUGCUUCCUGGAGGAAUAUAAGUCCACCAAGCCAGGAAAAAGAAAAGAAGAGAUGCUGCUUUGCCGAUGAAAGCUAAUGCUAGCAUAUAUCUGAAACAAGUGGCCAUUAGUGAAAUUAUAGAGGACGCCAUAAUCAAGUGUGGAACGAUUUCUACAGAUAUAGAAAUAAUUAAACGAAGAUAUACAAGCAUGGAGAAAUGGAUUAGACUUUCAUAAGCUUGCAUAAGUACGAUAAGAAAUUAUACUGACUUCGACGUUAUUUAGUCGCAUUCCUUGAUAACAUCCUGCAUGACAAGGGGAAUAGUACGUGAUUCCAUCAACUCCGCAUAUUGGACUGAACUCUGAUCUCGAGCAGCCACAGCCAUUAUUGCACGUGUUAUCCAAUGAAAAAGUUUUUCUUAAACAGAAUUUCGCGCGUCCAUACACAUAUAUAAAUAGCAAUCACUUACUUGGUCUGGUUCGAAUAAGGUAUAGUGACUCCCGCAAAGUUUAAAUUCGGACAAUUCAGAACGAAGCACAAAGUGAAGGCGAUGCAGGAUGCGGUGGCUAGUAGACAGAACUUUAAAAUGCCCGAGCAGGGCAAAUUAAAACGCUUUAUGAGGUAACCACCGAGGAAGGUACCUCCACCGCCUGCGGGUACAGUCACCAAACCUGCAAGCAAAAAGAAAAAAAUCUAGGUAAUAAAAUUAGGAUGAAAGGGUAUCUCAUUUCGAAUAGCGUGUUCUCCUCUCGAUGCUAUCGAAAUUUCACGAAAAUCACGUCGAAACAUUAGUCAAUUGUAAAUAUUCCAUACGAAAUAUAAAAACGUCGAGGAUGAUUUAUAUCUCGCGACAUACGUGCGAAUAAUUGAUGGUAACAUAUCGUUCAGUCGAUAUUUUAACGAAAGAGAGAAAGAGAGGGAUAAAAAAUGUUUCGAGAAAGGUAUUUGACGAAAUAUCGUCGAUGAUUACGCGUUGCGAUUGACGAGAGGCGCACGAGGUUGUUUCUCUCGUUUUUUCUCUCUCUCUUUCUUUCUUUCUUUGAUUGAUUACAACAGAAUGCUUGAAUAUUAUUCACCCAUUAGUAACGCGGCGGAACUAGCGCUGACGUUGAAUUGAUUUUCGAUCAGCUUGGGGAGGAAAGCGGCGAAACCGGCGAUAAGCAAUCCUUCACUGGCACCUGCCAGAUUUAACAUGAAAAAGCCAGGAUUACCGAGCAGAUCGG